This is a long non-coding RNA of Ostrea edulis (European flat oyster), 4482 nucleotides long. RefSeq lists it as uncharacterized. The record is from RefSeq and is a predicted model, not a curated record. NCBI's taxonomy places the organism in Eukaryota, Metazoa, Mollusca, Bivalvia, Ostreida, Ostreidae. The transcript is spliced from 3 exons.
UAAAUGUAAGGAACAAAUGUCUAGGGUGUUUUUUAUCUAUUAAAAAGAUUGUAUCAAUCUCUAAAUCUAAUAAGUAAAAUUUUGUAAUAUUCCAGCUUCAGGAAGUUUAUCCUAUCAUAAUGGAGGUGAUUAGCUACUUUGAACCUACUUUCAUGGAUCUACCAUAUUACUUUUUUUUUUUACUAUGACAUUUGACUUUAUGUUACUUUUCAAAGAAGGUGUAAUUUAUACGUAUAACGUGCAUCACAUGCACUUUUAAUGAUGCAGGCAAAUAAUUUUGAUGCAAUAUAAAAGGCAAGCGUGAACUGUAGAUCUACCCAGAUUAGAUUCAAUAAGAAUUGAAGGUCAAAAUCAUGGUGGUAACACGAGAAUCUGUAUACAAGAUUUUUAGGCUUGUUAAAUGGAAAAAUUAUAUGAAAAUAAUAGUCUCCAGUAAUAUCUACAUUUUAAUUCAUAUGAGAAAUCUUAGAACAGUUUCAAUAUUCAGACAGAUCAUGAGAUGGAAACCAAUGUAAUUGAGACGAAAAGGGAGUACAACUCGAAAUAUCAAGGAAAAACAAGAAAGGCCUUUGCGAUCAGCAGAUGAUGUCCUAUACAACCAUCCUUCCAUGACACAUGCAAUGGGAAGUUUAUUUCAGGAAACAAAGCCUGUCUGAAACUCCAAAAUGACAUUUCCAGAAAGCUGAAGAAUGGAUAAAAAUGUAUCUACCAUCUUACAACCCAGAUUUCAUUCCACUGAAAAGAAAAGGGACAGGAAAUGUUGCAUGUCCAUAUCUUGGAAGGUGAAUAGGUGGAAAGUCAAUAGAUGCUUACCAUAUCAGAUGCUUGUAGAUGAUAAUGGGGAUAAAGUAGCAGAAAAUUAGGGAAAACAGGGAAGUGGCAGCCAGGACUAUGGAGGGGAGGUGACAAUGACAGUGAGAUGGCGUUAGGUUGGACACCAGAAGGGAAGAGGGCAUUUAAGAGACCAAAAACAACCUGGAGAGGAACAGUAGAAGCAGAAAGAAAGAUUGCAGAAUGGAGAAACUUGAAUGAGAUCAAGAUGGUAGCAAUAGAACAGAGUGGAUUGGAGAGAGUCUCGGUCCUAUGUGUUUUGGCAUGGAGAGAACUAAGUAAUGUCUAGAUUGUUGGAGAUAGGAUGACCAGGAAUAUGAAUGGAUGUGCUGGAAACUAUACUAAGACCCUUAUGUAUUUGGAUAGAUUUACCUACCAUCAUGAUUUUGCUAUGAAAAACUUGAAAAAAAUCCUCAACUCAUAUUGUAGCUGACAUUGUACAUUUGUACUUAUUAAUAUUUCAAAUGAACAUGUUUUUAGACAUACAAUAUCUAAACUUUGGAGUCCAUGUACAUCUCCACAUUGGAUAAUAGGUUAUGAUAUAUGAGUGUGAAAUCUUUUCCUAUGGUAUGCACAUGUUAACACAUUAGUUUAAAUGAUGAUGUAUAUCUUAUGACUAUGGAAGAGAAUGUGUUCAGAACAGAAUAUGUGUUUAGAAGAGUUGUUGCCCUUGAAUGUAAGUUAUUAUUUACAUGGGAUUGAAAAAUAAUCCAGCACACAGUAGUACCAAAAUGCAUUAUGUUAAAAUACAUUUAUGAAUGGUAUAAGUGAUACUGUCAAUUACUGAUAAAUACACUUUGUGAAAUCAUAUUAUUGUUAUGUUUAAUAAAUUUCAAGGCUGCACCUUUGUACAUUUUACAAUAUAAUAUUCUGCACUUUGGUAUCAAAUUCUCUUAACCUAAUUUAAGAGUUACAUAUUCAUUAACAGCAAGUUAAUUAUGAUAUGCUAUGUAGUUUGUCAAAGGGGCAUUAGCUGCGAAAGUGAUGGCAACCUUUUUAUUCAAAAUCUCUCAUUAAGAAUAUAUAUUAAUGCAUAAUAAUAUUUAUUUUGUACAAAAACAUGAGAAACCUAAUAAAACGACAAUAGAUUGUCACUUUUAGUGUAUAGAAAUACAUAAGGACGAAUUAUUGUCUUGCAAGACAAUAAUCAUUUAAUUACCAAAAUUCAUGUGAUAUUCAUACACAUUCAUGUACCUGUUUUGGGGUUAAAAGGUGUUUGAAAUAAUUAAAUACUGGUGUUAUCACUGAAAUAUACAUGUAUGAUAUGGAGCAAAUUUCAUUUAAUUCACUUUUUGGUAUCAAAAUGACAGCUAAUGCCCCUUUAAGAAUAAGUAUUUUCAAUGCACAUCAUAAUAACGUUGUUAAGCUUGAAAGAAUAUUGGCUAUAAGGAAUCUUGAUCAUACAUAUAAAUAUUAAAAAUAUUUUUAAUUUCUCUCAAGGAGUCCUUAUAAACAAGCAUAAAAUCAUGAUUAUAGUACAUUGACUCUUGUGUGUUUCAAUCUGUUAGACUUUCCAAUUUUAUUGCAUUUCUUGGAAGUUGUGUUAAAGGAAUUGGUGGUCUUGGAAGGUUGUUGUAGUGAACAGCAAAGGUCAACUGCUUUGUAUACCUAGUCACCAAGGGCAAGGGUAGAGGUCAUGUGGUUCUGCAUUUCACAGGGCCAGUUAAGGGGCUAAAAGAAUAUAGUGUUAAUGACAAUUAUUUCCAUGAAUAAUGAGAGACAUCUCCCAUCUCUUGUUAUAGUGUUCUUCUUUAAAGAUUUUGUGGGAGAUGAGAAAUACUUUAUUUGAUGCACAGACACCAAAUUAAAAGUGGAGCUUGUUGAUCCUAAGUGAUAUCCCUGCCAUUAUCUUCAAUGCAGUCUCUCAUGUGUCUUAUAAAGGUUUGCAAACACUAGUGCUUGGAUAAUGCACAGACACACGAAAUGUGGGUAGUGUACGUGUACAGAUGUUGUGUACCCACCACCACCCCUCCACUGUCUACAAAAUAUAUACCUGUAGAACCAGUAAUAUCACCAGAAUAUGUUAUUUCCCCACCGAUCACCUUCAUAAGUCAUUAUGAAGUCAGUUCUACAUUCUAUGAGCUCUGGUGAGAUAUUGAUACAUACCGUACCACUUGAUCUAAAAGAAAUCCAUUUUACCACCGUCCCAUUCCAAUUUGAUAUCCUUUACUCUCAUGCGCUUUAAAUCGGAGACGGGAUACUUUUAAAACUUUGAUAAAGUUGAAUUUUCCAUUAUAUUCACAAGCACAGUAAAUUAUCAUCCCUUGCGAUUUAUGAUAUACAUUGCAUGGUAGGAUGAAUCCGCCCCCUUCUUUACAUGUAUGGUGUUGAAGUUUGGAAUAGAGAACAUCUGUUAUGGAUUUUUGGACCCUUUUUUAUUUUCGUAUGAUAGUCAAGAAUUUUAGACUUUGCUACCCCCCCCCCCCCUUCAGGAAAAAAACCCAACGUUAUGUGUCUGUCUGAUGCUCUUAAGAUUCUUAUGUGCAACAAAAAUGGAAGUUCAGUAAAAUUUCUGGCAACUUUCUUGCAUAUUGUAUUGAAAAAAAAAUUUGAUUUCUAGUCAAUAUUAGCCCUAAAAUAAUAUAUGUCUCUGAUAUAAAGCCUACCAAAAAUACCGUGUAAUUUCAUUCCAAAUGUACCUAGCCAAAUUUGUCAUGUAAUUGGAUAUGUGAGGUAUUUUAUAUCUAUUAGAAAAUAUUUUAUUAAUUUUUUAAUUAAUUUAUUAAUUUUUCGAAUUUGAAUAUGGCGUAUUAUACGCCAACAAUUAUUCCGGAAAUAUAUUAUCUAUUGGUGACGUUUCACCCAAGUAAGUAUAAUCUCGCGAGAAUACCGCUUGUUUUCAUCUGCCCGUGUAGCACAUUCGUUAACAUUAUACUUUCGAUAUAUCGGCAAUAGUUUUAGUUAUAUCAAUGCAUGUUCUAUAAAUUCUUUUCAUUUUGAUCUUAGCAAUUCUGUUGGUGUCGUCUAAAUAAAAACUUUCUAUAGCAUUGAAGGUCCGAUUUGUCGGAGAGCAGAUUCAUUUAUUUACGCAUUAAAUUUCUAUAGCUUUUAGAAUUCCUGCACAAACUUGUGAUAAAAACACCACAUAGGGGUGUAUUCUGUAUGGAAAUGAUGUAGACUCCACAUAAGUAUAUUGUUUUAAUUUUUCAAAGCAACAUAAUUAAUAAAAUACCCACAACUCUCACAAAAUUAAAUAAUUCCAGAUUGCUCUCGAUUUAAUUCUAAGUUGAUAUUCAUCAACAGCACACCUUUCGAUCCAAAAAACCGUUCGUGCAAAAUUUAUUUGUAUUGAUACAUUUUGAUAGACUACAGUCAGUUUCUGGAUCGAAGGUCGUGUUUUAUAUGAAUUAUAUGACUAAAUUUGAAAAAAGUGAAGAUUUCUGCAGAAAACCAGACCGAUACCGGUUUUGUCUUGUAUAGAAUUCCACAAGCUGACGUUUUGGCGGGGAAAUCUUGGCACGUCGCGAUGGUAUAAAGAUUAUAUUAUCAAAUGAUAACAAUCUUAUUUCAAUUCAUUAUGCUUUAUUUUUUAACACACCACAGGGCCGAUAUAGCUAAACAUGGUCUUAGUCCUUUAUCCAAGUGAAGUAAAUUCAGUUCACCGUCAUAGAUUGAAUGUUUUGUUUAUAAUAAAACCAUAUAUAAGCCUAU